This is a long non-coding RNA of Lemur catta (Ring-tailed lemur), 1478 nucleotides long. RefSeq lists it as uncharacterized. NCBI's taxonomy places the organism in Eukaryota, Metazoa, Chordata, Mammalia, Primates, Lemuridae. The transcript is spliced from 5 exons. The record is from RefSeq and is a predicted model, not a curated record.
UCCCUCCCUGUGGCCCUGGAGACAGGUGGGUGAUGUUCGCGCUCCUGCACAGCAUUUCAUCCCUGGAUCCAGCAUAUCCGAUCAUCCCCACCCCGAGAACGAACCCCUAGUGCUUCAGCCCCUGCUGUGCACAGCCCAUGUCACCUUAGCGACCUGAGAGUUUCUCUUGGUGACAUACCAAGGGGUGGGAUUGCUGGGUGAACGGGCAUGGACACACUUUAUUCCAAUAAAUGCCACCCCUCGGCUUUCCAGACCGGCUGUGGGGUUCACAUCCCACAGGCACUAGCCGAGAACGCUCCUCCUCCCACGGCACCCUCGGAAUUAUCCACCUUCUGAUGUUUGCUAUUCCGCUGGGCAUAAGGUGGUAUCACGUUUUCUUUGAUUUUGCAUUUCUCCGCUGCACCCUGGGCAUGAGCAUCUCUUCACGAAGUCAUCACCCAUCUGGGAUUCUGAGUCUGGGAACCACCCGUGCCCUGCAGGAGGCUGUCAUACACCACGGCUAUCCGUCCUUUGUCACGACAGCCAGUCACCUCCAAACCAUUAUUCACACACUAGCCUCUUCCCGACGAUCGUCGCUGCCACAUUCACACUAAAUGCCCAUGCAUCCGUGGACGUGCAUCUCAGCCAAUUCCCUGCAGUGAGCAUUUGCACCUUGUCAUACCUAGUGGAUCUGCCGGCUCCCUCAUUAUGAUGCUUCAGACGGUUUCUGUCAUCCUUGGGCAUUUUGUUCUCUGAGUGAACCUCCCCGUCAGCUUGUCUGGGACCACGAGACACCCACGUGCCUCGCUUCUUGGGACUCUGGCAGCAAGACGGGAAGUGCCCGAUUCGAUUCUCAGCAUUGCUUUGCUCCAGAAGACCUUGGACUUAGUCCAGGUAGGAGGAAUCAAUUUCCUCUGCUGGCUGCAGCUUUGCUGCCAAGCACUUCCUGCGGUGCCGGUGCGGAGCUGGGCCGGGAGCGAGGAGCACCGGACACAGUCUCUUACCUCUGGAACCUUCCUUCCCAUGGUAGACCCCCAGGAGCCCAGUCCAGUUUGGAAGAAAGCACGGAAAGGAGCAAUUAUAGGACUGUGGGUUGCAUCAUUUCGAGGGUACCUGGGCCACAGCCCAGUAGUUCAAGAGGUAGAACUGCCUGUCUUGCAAUAGGUGCCCUGGGCAUUCGCGGGCAGGGCCUGCCUUCCCAUGGCCUGCCUUCCCGGCAGAGCAAACCCGCCCUCCCUAGAGGGGACACUUCACCCCAGGAUUGCCACACGGGACUCCCAGAGGUAAAGCUGAAGAUGGCCAGCAGCCUCACGUUGACCGCGCCGGCCACCAUGCUCGACGUGCAGCAGCAGCCCGCGGAGCUGGCUACCAGUGUUAGUCACCCCCAUGUUCCAGAUGAGGACACGAGAGAAGCAUGACACAGAAGGCUGAAGUCGCUUGUUCAGAAUCACUACAUGGCAAGUAGCAGAGGCAGGAUAUGGACCAAGGACAUUGGCCUC